GAUGAAGAACGUAGCGAAAUGCGAUAAGUAAUGCGAAUUGCAGAAUUCAGUGAGUCAUCGAAUCUUUGAACGCACAUUGCGCCCGCUAGUAUUCUGGCGGGCAUGCCUGUCCGAGCGUCAUUUCAACCCUCAAGCCCCCGGGCUUGGUGUUGGGGAUCGGCGAGCCUCCGCGCCCGCCGUCCCCUAAAUCUAGUGGCGGUCUCGCUGUAGCUUCCUCUGCGUAGUAGCACACCUCGCACUGGGAAACAGCGCGGCCACGCCGUUAAACCCCCAACUUCUGAACGUUUGACCUCGGAUCAGGUAGGAAUACCCGCUGAACUUAAGCAUAUCAAUACGGAGGA
RNAcentral lists this unclassified non-coding RNA (341 nucleotides) under soil metagenome. Its description in RNAcentral is "partial contains 5.8S ribosomal RNA, internal transcribed spacer 2, and large subunit ribosomal RNA". The stretch from base 1 to 120 matches the Rfam family "5.8S ribosomal RNA", at positions 35 to 154 of the family's 154-position model. The record is from RNAcentral.